Molecule: long non-coding RNA, 775 nt
Organism: Pseudophryne corroboree (corroboree frog)
Lineage: Eukaryota; Metazoa; Chordata; Amphibia; Anura; Myobatrachidae
Exons: 4
Source: RefSeq, a predicted model, not a curated record
GAUGGGUGGCCAUAGCAAUGGUGCCAAGGGGAGCGUGUUGCACUAUGCGUGACAUCAUUGGAGUCUGCUGGCAUCUGCGCUCAUUCGGAGGAGGGUUUCGGUGGAGGGUUCUUGUUCUUUCCUCUUUUAAACUAUAUAAGACAUAAAUCCUAAAUAUAUGGCCUGUUAGGAGUACUUGAGGACUGGAGUUGAAAACCCCUGCUAUAUACUGUGCUUACUGUCUACAAAGUUUCGGAUCCUCCGUGACGCGCUGCAGGCAGGCAGUGAGUGAUGACUUAAUUUGACUGACCCGCGCCGCCUGACGCUGCCCGCCAUGGACACUCCGAGGUGGUAUUUAGGAGCUAUAAUCGGAACAGUAGAGCAACAUCUACUGUCUACUCCACCAGGACAGGAAGAACUGGACAGAAACCUAUUGCAGGACAUAACUAAAAUGGCAUUAAAAGGAGAGGUAAUAAUCAUGGGAGACUUUAAUCUACCUGAUGUAAACUGGGAGAUGUCUGUUGCUAGUUCCACUAGAAUUAGGGACAUUUUAAAUUCCCUUCAGGGAGCAUCCCUCCACCAAUUGGUGAGGGAGCCUACUCGGAAAGACGCAAUAUUAGACUUAAUACUUAGAAAUGGAGACAGAAUAUCGGAUGUAAAAGUGGGUGAAAACCUGGGAUCCAGUGAUCAUCAAGUAGUAUGGUGUUGGAUUUUAGGAAGUCUAAUUUUGUAGGGAUGGGAAAAUGUGUAAGCGUUUCUUUGGCAGAGUGGAGGAACUUGGAUGCAGUGCACGAGA